Long non-coding RNA from Oncorhynchus tshawytscha (Chinook salmon), 1117 nucleotides. The record is from Ensembl. NCBI's taxonomy places the organism in Eukaryota, Metazoa, Chordata, Actinopteri, Salmoniformes, Salmonidae.
UUUUUCUUAUUAAACAUGUUUUUUUUAUGGGGGGAACGUUUAAUUUAACAAAUCCUUGUUCCGAUCUCCUGACCCACAGUAUGUAAAGGUACAGCUGACUAUGUCGGUUGACCUGCAGUGCUUAGCAAUAUAAUCUUGAGGCUAUAUCUUGCUUAUCUCUGGGAUUGACCCAGGAUGACGCUUAAAUGCGCAAUAUGUUUAAGUUGCAACUUAUUCGGUUUAGGUUUAUUAGAUGCUAACUGAACACUUAACUCGCGGGAUCCUCCUCAGUUCAUAUGUUAGUAGAAGUUCUAGGAUAGUGAGAGGUGAAUGUAUAGUUGGGAUUUUAUUUUUGUUUUACCUCUUGUUCAAGGUCGCGCCGUGCUUUUUUGGCAUCGGCCAGACAAUGUGUUUAUUAUUUUUAUUUUUCCUUUUUUUUUUUCUCCUGUUUGUACAUGCCUGUUAAAUGUGGGUUGAUGGGGGGUAAGUGUUGGGGAAAUUAGGGGUACAGGGUGGGAAGUAAAGGUGCUUGCAGGGGGGGAGGGGUGGGUUGGAUACUGCUCGGGUGUAGGUGCUACAUAUGCUGAUCGUGAUGGUUUGGUGCGCUUUCUUACCUUUUUAUCAAGUUACAUGGUAUGCAGGCCACCAUAGGAACUACAAACGAGAGGAGGGCGGGGCUUACAUUCACUUCCUGGAAUGUCAAGGGUUUAAACGAACCAAUUAAGAGGGGCAAGGUCCUAGCCCACUUGAAAGCACUCUCGUCUGAUAUUAUAUUUUUGCAAGAAACCCAUCUGAAGAAUAACUCUCAUAGCAGACUUAAGUGUAGGUGGGUGGGCAAGUGUAUCACUCUAACUUCUCUGCCAAAACGAGAGGCACAGCGAUUCUGGUACGGAAAGGAAUUCCCUUUCUACAUAAAACCACUAUUGCGGAUAAAGAGGGUCGGUAUGUGAUCGUAAUAGGAGAAAUCCACUCUACCUCAGUAACUCUACUAAAUAUCUAUGGGCCAAACAUUGACAACCCCUCUUUUUUUCAAAAGAGUCCUUGCCCUGAUUCCAGAUAUCUCCCAUACUAACCUGGUCAUUGGAGGGGACCUUAGCUGUGUGCUAGACCAAUAUUUGGAUAGAUCCUCUACCCGGCG